CAGUCAGAGCGGACAGAUGGGAGCUUGCUCCCUGAUGUUAGCGGCGGACGGGUGAGUAACACGUGGGUAACCUGCCUGUAAGACUGGGAUAACUCCGGGAAACCGGGGCUAAUACCGGAUGCUUGUUUGAACCGCAUGGUUCAAACAUAAAAGGUGGCUUCGGCUACCACUUACAGAUGGACCCGCGGCGCAUUAGCUAGUUGGUGAGGUAAUGGCUCACCAAGGCGACGAUGCGUAGCCGACCUGAGAGGGUGAUCGGCCACACUGGGACUGAGACACGGCCCAGACUCCUACGGGAGGCAGCAGUAGGGAAUCUUCCGCAAUGGACGAAAGUCUGACGGAGCAACGCCGCGUGAGUGAUGAAGGUUUUCGGAUCGUAAAGCUCUGUUGUUAGGGAAGAACAAGUACCGUUCGAAUAGGGCGGUACCUUGACGGUACCUAACCAGAAAGCCACGGCUAACUACGUGCCAGCAGCCGCGGUAAUACGUAGGUGGCAAGCGUUGUCCGGAAUUAUUGGGCGUAAAGGGCUCGCAGGCGGUUUCUUAAGUCUGAUGUGAAAGCCCCCGGCUCAACCGGGGAGGGUCAUUGGAAACUGGGGAACUUGAGUGCAGAAGAGGAGAGUGGAAUUCCACGUGUAGCGGUGAAAUGCGUAGAGAUGUGGAGGAACACCAGUGGCGAAAGCGACUCUCUGGUCUGUAUC
This 700-nucleotide ribosomal RNA is filed under the name Bacillus sp. (in: firmicutes). RNAcentral describes it as "bacterial SSU rRNA". It matches the Rfam family "Bacterial small subunit ribosomal RNA", at positions 59 to 740 of the family's 1533-position model. Lineage: Bacteria; Bacillati; Bacillota; Bacilli; Caryophanales; Bacillaceae. The record is from RNAcentral.